UUCUGUGGAUAAGCAAAGAAAGCUGUUUCUUGAGAUAGGAUCUACUCCUCCUGAAAAUACUGGAAA
RNAcentral lists this microRNA precursor (66 nucleotides) under Marmota monax (woodchuck). Lineage: Eukaryota; Metazoa; Chordata; Mammalia; Rodentia; Sciuridae. The record is from RNAcentral.